GGGGAAUUAGCUCAUCUGGUAGAGCGUUUGCAUGGCAUGCAAAAGGUAACCGGUUCGACUCCGGUAUUCUCCA
Molecule: transfer RNA, 73 nt
Filed under: Taibaiella sp.
Lineage: Bacteria; Pseudomonadati; Bacteroidota; Chitinophagia; Chitinophagales; Chitinophagaceae
Rfam family: tRNA
About the family: Transfer RNA (tRNA) molecules are approximately 80 nucleotides in length. Their secondary structure includes four short double-helical elements and three loops (D, anti-codon, and T loops).
Source: Rfam by way of RNAcentral